Long non-coding RNA from Sander lucioperca (pikeperch), 1917 nucleotides. RefSeq lists it as uncharacterized. The record is from RefSeq and is a predicted model, not a curated record. The transcript is spliced from 3 exons. Lineage: Eukaryota; Metazoa; Chordata; Actinopteri; Perciformes; Percidae.
GGUUUGACAAACGGCUGUGUGGACAUUUCAACGUGCAAUACCCCGGGAAGGAGCUGCUGAGCGGUGCGCAGAGAGCCAAGGCAUUCACCGUCUCCAAGUCUCUCUUACACUCUGUAAACACAACCAGUCCGGCAGACUCUGCUAUUGAAGACUGAUAUUUUCAUAAGCUAAAUACUAUCGUUCACAUUGAUUUGUGCACUCACGCUUGACUUUUUUUUCAUCCUCCUCCUUUGGACAACCACGGUAAGUAGUAUGAACCUUAUAUACUGUAUCUACCGCUUUGUUGUGAACGCGCGUCAUUUCAGGCGCAGUAAAGGGAAAGUUUUAAAGCUCGACUAUAAAAAUAUAUAUAACAUAUUCUCAUAUGUAUGUUUAAACGAUAGAGUAUCCUAAAAACCCAAACGCUGCAGCGAAUUGUUAAAUAUACAUACUUCCAGAUCUUGCAAUGUUACCGCGUUUUAUUUCGCAUUUAUUGUGGAAAUAUGUGAUUUGCCCCCGAGGAGAGUGAUGUAAACACCCGAGGAGCGCGUGAAAAUAGCAGAAGCUAAUUAUGCGUGUCCAAUGUACGGCUCCACAGAAACACAUCCUUCCCUAUAAAACUUCCAGCAACGACUCCUACUAACGACGCGGACAUUUUUAAACUCCUUUUGUGAACUAUUUAUUUGAGUAAUUAAUGGAAGCCAUACACACAAGACAUCAUCAUUAACAACAUUUAGGUUGCGAAAUGGGUUAAUUUCGCCUAAUAACAGCUUUUGAUGCGACAUUACACGAGUCGGUGUUUAAUUUUCUAAUUUCAUUUUAAUUAUCAUUCACUCAAUAGGUAAUUCAAAUUAAUUUCGCUCAUAAACAAGACCUGUGCCAACAUAAACUCCCUUUGCUUAUAACCUGGCCGCGUUUACAAGCCAGCUAAUUCCAGGAGGACACCGAUCAGACAAUUACAGCUUUUAAGGAGUUUUAGAUUUCUCACAAGUGGCUUUCUCGUUGCGACCCUUUUCAGGUGCACACACAGGUCUUAUGCGUAUGAAAAAAAAAAUCAGAGGAUGGCAUUAACAGGCGGUAAAAUUUCAUCUGGUGGUGUCAAAUUGAGGUCAGUUUAGGGUUAAAGCUCUCGGUGUCCGUGUGGGACAUGGCCAGCUGCGUUUGGAUUCAUUAGGGUGGGGGGGAGAGGAUCCAUUUCAAGGAAAACACUACUGGGACAAUCAGCAGGCUAAAGAUCCACUGCAUGUCACAUCCUAAAGGUGCACCAGGACCGCAUGCCACCGAGCUCCAGCACUGAACUUCCACUCCUCUGUUUACUCUUUGCAGGAUUUACAAUCCCUCUCCCCCUCUCCUGCCCUGCAGGGCUCGGUUGUUCACACACACACACACACACACACACACACACACACACAGACACACACACACACACACACACACACACACACACACAUACAAGCCUGUUGCUAAAUAUGGAGAGAGAGAGAGAGAGAGAAAGCAUUGUUGAUUUAAUUCCCUCAAAAAGAUCACUGAUAUGAAACGAGCUUCAAAUCCUCUUAGUGACCUUAAACACUCCUGGAGAAACAAUUGGCGCUCAACCACAGGAACAAAUAAAAUCGCCCUAAUCUUGUUUGUAACUUUGUUCUUCUUUGGCCCUCUUCAAUGUUUGAGAUUAUGUAAAUGAGCUGAGCUAAUGCACAGAGGCGCUGAGAUAAGACUGGAUCAUAGACUACUGGAGAGGCUCGGGAAGUAAAAAAGCUUGCAGCCUGUCCAUUUCUUCUUCUUUUUUUGCAGCAGCAGUUUGAAAAUUGAAAGAAAUACAGCUACUGAUGCGUAAUGUAAUUUAAAAGUUUACUUUCUGCACUAAAUGAAUGUAAUGCAGCUUUGUGUUUGUUCCAGCUGUAAAGAAGGCAACGGCUCAGAUAAUUUUUUAUCAUCUCC